ACGCUCGACACCUACGGAGGCAGCAGUCGGGAAUAUUGCGCAAUGGAGGAAACUCUGACGCAGUGACGCCGCGUGCAGGAAGAAGGUUUUCGGAUUGUAAACUGCUUUAGACAGGGAAGAAAGAAAUGACAGUACCUGUAGAAUAAGCUCCGGCUAACUACGUGCCUAGCACGCCGGACGGUUAAUCUGGAGGCGGGCGUGGACGAAGGC
This 210-nucleotide ribosomal RNA is filed under the name uncultured bacterium. RNAcentral's name for it is "partial 16S ribosomal RNA". It matches the Rfam family "Bacterial small subunit ribosomal RNA", at positions 328 to 545 of the family's 1533-position model. The record is from RNAcentral.